CGAGGGGCAGCAUAUCAAAGCUUGCUUUGAUGAUGGCGACCGGCGCACGGGUGAGUAACACGUAUCCACCUGCCGACAACACUGGGAUAGCCUUUCGAAAGAAAGAUUAAUACCGGAUGGCCCCGCAUGGGUAAAGAAUUUCGGUUGUCGAUGGGGAUGCGUUCCAUUAGGCAGUUGGCGGGGUAACGGCCCACCAAACCUACGAUGGAUAGGGGUUCUGAGAGGAAGGUCCCCCACAUUGGAACUGAGACACGGUCCAAACUCUACGGGAGGCAGCAGUGAGGAAUAUUGGUCAAUGGACGAGAGUCUGAACCAGCCAAGUAGCGUGAAGGAUGACUGCCUAUGGGUUGUAAACUUCUUUUAUACGGGAAUAAGUGAGCCACGUGUGGUUUUUUGUAUGUACCGUAUGAAUAAGGAUCGGCUAACUCCGUGCCAGCAGCCGCGGUAAUACGGAGGAUCCGAGCGUUAUCCGGAUUUAUUGGGUUUAAAGGGAGCGUAGGCGGGUUGUUAAGUCAGUUGUGA
This 522-nucleotide ribosomal RNA is filed under the name uncultured bacterium. Its description in RNAcentral is "bacterial SSU rRNA". It matches the Rfam family "Bacterial small subunit ribosomal RNA", at positions 63 to 597 of the family's 1533-position model. The record is from RNAcentral.